RNAcentral lists this ribosomal RNA (436 nucleotides) under uncultured Ruminococcus sp. RNAcentral's name for it is "partial 16S ribosomal RNA". It matches the Rfam family "Bacterial small subunit ribosomal RNA", at positions 341 to 792 of the family's 1533-position model. Lineage: Bacteria; Bacillati; Bacillota; Clostridia; Eubacteriales; Oscillospiraceae. The record is from RNAcentral.
ACGGGAGGCAGCAGUGGGGAAUAUUGCACAAUGGGGGAAACCCUGAUGCAGCAACGCCGCGUGCGGGAAGACGGUCUUCGGAUUGUAAACCGCUUUUCUUAGUGAAGAAGAAGUGACGGUAGCUAAGGAAUAAGCAUCGGCUAACUACGUGCCAGCAGCCGCGGUAAUACGUAGGAUGCGAGCGUUGUCCAGAUUUACUGGGUGUAAAGGGAGCGCAGGCGGGACUGCAAGUUGGAUGUGAAAUGUCGAGGCUUAACCUCGGAACUGCAUCCAAAACUGUAGUUCUUGAGUGGAGUAGAGGCAAGCGGAAUUCCGAGUGUAGCGGUGAAAUGCGUAGAUAUUAGGAGGAACAUCGGUGGCGAAGGCGGCUUACUGGGCCUUUACUGACGCUGAGGCACGAAAGCGUGGGGAGCAAACAGGAUUAGAUACCCUGGUA